GCUCCCGUAGCUCAGCUGGAUAGAGCGCCAUCGACACUGAGUUGGUGGUGGUCGCGGGUUCAACUCCGGUCGGGAGCC
RNAcentral lists this transfer RNA (78 nucleotides) under Agrobacterium pusense. RNAcentral's name for it is "tRNA-Gln". It matches the Rfam family "tRNA". Rfam says of the family: Transfer RNA (tRNA) molecules are approximately 80 nucleotides in length. The record is from RNAcentral. Lineage: Bacteria; Pseudomonadati; Pseudomonadota; Alphaproteobacteria; Hyphomicrobiales; Rhizobiaceae.